Molecule: unclassified non-coding RNA, 734 nt
Filed under: Hevea brasiliensis (rubber tree)
Lineage: Eukaryota; Viridiplantae; Streptophyta; Magnoliopsida; Malpighiales; Euphorbiaceae
Source: RNAcentral
AAACAGGAAGCUCAUCCUCUACUUCUCUGAUCUCUUUUUCCACCUCAAAACCCAAAUUCCAAAUCUUUCUUUUCUUUAUUUCCUGGUCAUCAUUAAUGGCAUUCCAUGCGAAAAGAGAGAAUAACUUCAUUUUUUUAACCCCAGAUGGUGAUUUUAAUCCUCUGAAUGCUCCUGAGAAUCUUUUCGAAUUUGAUGAGGCUGAUGUUUGGAACAAUAGUAAUAAUUCUAGUGCAGUGUCACAAUUGGAGGCCAAGAAAAUCGCACCCAGUUCCCGUCCAUCAAGAAAAGGUGGCAGAAAUAUGGUGGUGGAAAGGACUAGCCGGCCGGUGACCUGCGCUGCAUCUCUUCCAGUGAACAUACCAGAUUGGUCCAAGAUUUAUAGGGAAGAUCACUACAGAAGGCAUCAUAAAGAUGAUGAUCAAGAUCAAGAUGGUGACUAUUAUGGUGAUGAUCAUGGUGGUGAUGACGAAGAUGGAAGGAUUCCUCCCCAUGAAUAUUUAGCAAGGAGGAGAGGGGCUUCUUUUUCUGUUCAUGAAGGGAUAGGGAGAACAUUGAAAGGAAGAGACUUGAGGCAGGUGAGAAAUGCAAUUUGGAAGAUAGUUGGGUUUGAAGAUUAGCAGAAGAAAGAAUCAAUUAACGAGAGAGUAAAACUAGAAAAGGAUUAUUAAUUAUAUUAUAUAAUUAUAGAGAUAAGGAUGAGAGGAUGAUCAUGCAUUAAUUUUCUUUGAUAGGGU